RNAcentral lists this ribosomal RNA (413 nucleotides) under uncultured Methanocalculus sp. RNAcentral describes it as "bacterial SSU rRNA". It matches the Rfam family "Archaeal small subunit ribosomal RNA", at positions 330 to 747 of the family's 1478-position model. Lineage: Archaea; Methanobacteriati; Methanobacteriota; Methanomicrobia; Methanomicrobiales; Methanocalculaceae. The record is from RNAcentral.
GUGCACCAGGCGCGAAAACUUUACAAUGCGAGCAAUCGUGAUAAGGAAACCCUGAGUGCCUGUCAAUGCAGGCUGUUCUGGUGUCUAACACACACCAGGAGAAAGGGCGGGGCAAGACCGGUGCCAGCCGCCGCGGUAAUACCGGCUGCUCGAGUGAUAGCCACUUUUACUGGGCUUAAAGCGUUCGUAGCUUGGUCGUUAAGUCUCUGGGGAAAUCUUUUGGCUCAACCAAAAGGCGUCUCAGGGAAACUGACGAUCUUGGAACCGGGAGAGGUAAGACGUACUUCGGGGGUAGGAGUGAAAUCUUGUAAUCCCCGAGGGACGACCGAUGGCGAAGGCAUCUUACCAGAACGGCUUCGACAGUGAGGGACGAAAGCUGGGGGAGCAAACCGGAUUAGAUACCCGUGUAGUCC